This 321-nucleotide ribosomal RNA is filed under the name Sandonidae sp. RNAcentral describes it as "SSU rRNA". The stretch from base 111 to 321 matches the Rfam family "Eukaryotic small subunit ribosomal RNA", at positions 744 to 955 of the family's 1831-position model. The record is from RNAcentral. Lineage: Eukaryota; Cercozoa; Glissomonadida; Sandonidae.
GAUUUCUGGCUUGUCACAUUUUGCCGGCCACGGUUUCGUGUGUUAGUGCUUGAUGUUCUGGCCAUCCUUCCAUUGUCACUGGCUACUCUUCAUUGAUUGGUCAGUGGUUUUGGAUCUUUUACUUUGAAAAAAUUAGAGUGUUUCAAGCAGGCUUUAUGCUAUGAAUACAUUAGCAUGGAAUAAUAAUUUAGGACUUCGGUUCUAUUUUGUUGGUUUCUAGGACUGAAGUAAUGAUUGAUAGGGACAGUUGGGGGUGCUAGUAUUCAGCGGCCAGAGGUGAAAUUCUCGGAUUCGCUGAAGACUAACUUAUGCGAAAGCAUU